RNAcentral lists this ribosomal RNA (644 nucleotides) under Aquipseudomonas alcaligenes. RNAcentral describes it as "bacterial SSU rRNA". It matches the Rfam family "Bacterial small subunit ribosomal RNA", at positions 29 to 669 of the family's 1533-position model. Lineage: Bacteria; Pseudomonadati; Pseudomonadota; Gammaproteobacteria; Pseudomonadales; Pseudomonadaceae. The record is from RNAcentral.
UAUGUCGCUGGCGGUAGGCCUAGACAUGCAAGUCGAGCGGAUGAAGGUAGCUUGCUAUCGGAUUCAGCGGCGGACGGGUGAGUAAUGCCUAGGAAUCUGCCCGGUAAUGGGGGAUAACGUUUCGAAAGGAACGCUAAUACCGCAUACGUCCUACGGGAGAAAGCAGGGGACCUUCGGGCCUUGCGUUAUCGGAUGAGCCUAGGUCGGAUUAGCUAGUUGGUGAGGUAAUGGCUCACCAAGGCGACGAUCCGUAACUGGUCUGAGAGGAUGAUCAGUCACACUGGAACUGAGACACGGUCCAGACUCCUACGGGAGGCAGCAGUGGGGAAUAUUGGACAAUGGGCGAAAGCCUGAUCCAGCCAUGCCGCGUGUGUGAAGAAGGUCUUCGGAUUGUAAAGCACUUUAAGUUGGGAGGAAGGGCAGUCAGUUAAUACCUUGCUGUCUUGACGUUACCAACAGAAUAAGCACCGGCUAACUUCGUGCCAGCAGCCGCGGUAAUACGAAGGGUGCAAGCGUUAAUCGGAAUUACUGGGCGUAAAGCGCGCGUACGUGGUUCAGCAAGUUGGAUGUGAAAGCCCCGGGCUCAACCUGGGAACUGCGUCCAAAACUACUGAGCUAGAGUACGGUAGAGGGUGGUGGAAUUU